UCUAUUUUAUACAGCUAUAGGAUAGCAUUUCCGAUCACUUUGCCCAGUGCGGAAAUUAAAAUGAAAUAGCUACGCAUAUGGUUAUAUUAGUGCUAUUGAGGAGAUGUAUCGCUCCAAAAAGUCGAAAUAUGCCCAAAUUUAUUUUACUAUCGACUUUCGUUCAAACAACAAGACCAUGGCACUCGAUAGCCAACCAAUACUACCACCGAAAUUACGACGUGAAGAAUGUGAUUUUUUUCCUAUCACCUUAUACUACCUAU
This is a non-coding RNA of Cinara cedri, 260 nucleotides long. The record is from the annotation of a GenBank genome assembly. Lineage: Eukaryota; Metazoa; Arthropoda; Insecta; Hemiptera; Aphididae.